AUUAUUGAAAUAAACCUGAUGAGCUGUUGCUGGCUCUCUAGGGAGUAUGUGCACGCUUGUCGUCUUUAUAUCUCCACCUGUGCACUUUUUGUAGACCUGGAUAUCUCUCUGAUGCUUUUYAGCAUUUAGGUUGGAGGAUUGACUUGAUUGUCUUUCUUUACACUUCCAGGCCUAUGUUUCUUCAUAUACCCCAUUGUAUGUUACAGAAUGUAAUAAAUGGGCCUUUGUGCCUAUAAAAACCUUAUACAACUUUCAGCAACGGAUCUCUUGGCUCUCGCAUCGAUGAAGAACGCAGCGAAAUGCGAUAAGUAAUGUGAAUUGCAGAAUUCAGUGAAUCAUCGAAUCUUUGAACGCACCUUGCGCUCCUUGGUAUUCCGAGGAGCAUGCCUGUUUGAGUGUCAUUAAUAUAUCAACCUCUUCAGCUUUUGCUUGAGUGGUUGGAUGUGGGGGCUUUAAAUUUCUGCUGGACUUUUUUUCUUUUUGAGAAGAUCAGCUCCCCUAAAAUAUAUUAGCAGAACAAUUUUGUUGACCGUUCAUUGGUGUGAUAAAUAUCUACGCUAUUGACGUGAAGCAAGUUCAGCUUCUAACAGUCCAUUGACUUGGACAAAUUUUUCAUUAAUGUGACCUCAAAUCAGGUAGGACUACCCGCUGAACUUAAGCAUAUCA
Molecule: ribosomal RNA, 666 nt
Filed under: Cystinarius crassus
Lineage: Eukaryota; Fungi; Basidiomycota; Agaricomycetes; Agaricales; Cortinariaceae
Description: eukaryotic LSU rRNA
Rfam family: 5.8S ribosomal RNA (bases 248-401)
Source: RNAcentral